This 1348-nucleotide ribosomal RNA is filed under the name uncultured bacterium. RNAcentral's name for it is "bacterial SSU rRNA". It matches the Rfam family "Bacterial small subunit ribosomal RNA", at positions 40 to 1381 of the family's 1533-position model. The record is from RNAcentral.
CUACAGGCUUAACACAUGCAAGUUCGAGGGGCAGCAUUUUAGUUUGCUUGCAAACUGAAGAAGGCGACCGGCGCACGGGCGAGUAACACGUAUCCAACCUGCCGAUAACUCCGGGAUAGCCUUUCGAAAGAAAGAUUAAUACCGGAUAGUAUACGAAUAUCGCAUGAUAUUUUUAUUAAAGAAUUUCGGUUAUCGAUGGGGAUGCGUUCCAUUAGUUUGUUGGCGGGGUAACGGCCCACCAAGACUACGAUGGAUAGGGGUUCUGAGAGGAAGGUCCCCCACAUUGGAACUGAGACACGGUCCAAACUCCUACGGGAGGCAGCAGUGAGGAAUAUUGGUCAAUGGGCGCGAGCCUGAACCAGCCAAGUAGCGUGAAGGAUGAAGGCUCUAUGGGUCGUAAACUUCUUUUAUAUGGGAAUAAAGUUUUCCACGUGUGGAAUUUUGUAUGUACCAUAUGAAUAAGGAUCGGCUAACUCCGUGCCAGCAGCCGCGGUAAUACGGAGGAUCCGAGCGUUAUCCGGAUUUAUUGGGUUUAAAGGGAGCGUAGGUGGAUUGUUAAGUCAGUUGUGAAAGUUUGCGGCUCAACCGUAAAAUUGCAGUUGAAACUGGCAGUCUUGAGUACAGUAGAGGUGGGCGGAAUUCGUGGUGUAGCGGUGAAAUGCUUAGAUAUCACGAAGAACUCCGAUUGCGAAGGCAGCUCACUAGACUGUCACUGACACUGAUGCUCGAAAGUGUGGGUAUCAAACAGGAUUAGAUACCCUGGUAGUCCACACAGUAAACGAUGAAUACUCGCUGUUUGCGAUAUACAGUAAGCGGCCAAGCGAAAGCAUUAAGUAUUCCACCUGGGGAGUACGCCGGCAACGGUGAAACUCAAAGGAAUUGACGGGGGCCCGCACAAGCGGAGGAACAUGUGGUUUAAUUCGAUGAUACGCGAGGAACCUUACCCGGGCUUAAAUUGCAACAGAAUAUAUUGGAAACAGUAUAGCCGUAAGGCUGUUGUGAAGGUGCUGCAUGGUUGUCGUCAGCUCGUGCCGUGAGGUGUCGGCUUAAGUGCCAUAACGAGCGCAACCCUUAUCUUUAGUUACUAACAGGUUAUGCUGAGGACUCUAGAGAGACUGCCGUCGUAAGAUGUGAGGAAGGUGGGGAUGACGUCAAAUCAGCACGGCCCUUACGUCCGGGGCUACACACGUGUUACAAUGGGGGGUACAGAAGGCGGCUACCUGGUGACAGGAUGCUAAUCCCAAAAACCUCUCUCAGUUCGGAUCGAAGUCUGCAACCCGACUUCGUGAAGCUGGAUUCGCUAGUAAUCGCGCAUCAGCCAUGGCGCGGUGAAUACGUUCCCGGGCCU